Triplophysa rosa is the source of this 1195-nucleotide long non-coding RNA. RefSeq lists it as uncharacterized. NCBI's taxonomy places the organism in Eukaryota, Metazoa, Chordata, Actinopteri, Cypriniformes, Nemacheilidae. The record is from RefSeq and is a predicted model, not a curated record. The transcript is spliced from 3 exons.
AACAAAUCGUGUUUCCGGGACGGAUCGGGUAGCCACACUAUGGACAUCUUUUUAUCACUGUUACUCAAGCCUCAUCAGGUCCCUCUCUGUCACCAGUCUUUCCUGGUCAUUGACGUACAGGCCCUUCUGAGCCAGAGCCUGUAUGACGUCAUCAUGACCCAGCAAAGGUUUGGCGGCGUCGCUCUUUAGGAUCAGGCUUCCUGCUCUGCAGUACAGCUCGGCUGACAGCAGCAGGCCCGCCACCGGAGGUUUAAGGCUCUCUCUCUCGCUGGAGAAGAUGAAGGCCAGAGAAAAGCCCUUAAAGGAAGUGGCUCUGUGUCUACCACGCAUCUAGAAUAUCAAAACCACCAUCAAUAUGAGUGAUUUCCAUGUGGAUGUUUCAGCAACACAAAUGGGUUCAUGGAUCGGCUGAAUGAGGUCACAGUAUCCACGGUGAACGAAUAUGUUUAGCUAUUUAUUGAGAUGGCAAGAACUAUUAAGCUACAUCUUUUGUAAGUCAAAACUGACUGUGCUAAUGGCAAAGUAGAUGUGGAUGUUGUAUGAAUUUUAACAUGAGCACAAUGAACAUGCAAAUGAAGCAUAUAGUGUAUAACUUUAGUGGUUUUAGGUUUUUAAUGUGGCAGCUCAACAAUCAAACUUUACACCGAUGCUAUCUGAGCCACUAGGCGUUGACAAUCUAAGUAAAAAAUAUGACUGUGUCGAGAUGACUGUGGUUGCCAUAGCAACAAUAGGGAGGUUGAUCGAUUCCCCUGCUGUAUGUAUCUACCCAGGAGCUCCUCACAAGCCUCAUCAAACAGAGAAAAGACACAGGAGAGAGAAAGAGAGAGUGGAACUACACACGUGUUAUAUUUUUGCAUCUUCAUACUACAAUUGAAUCACAUUUCAAAGGGCGAGUAGCUAAAACAGUUAAAGGGCAUGACUUAGCAAAUAAACAAUGCUAGACCUCUUAUGAGAUUUAAUAUGUAUUAUUUCCAAGCCUUUUUUCACAAUUACUUUCAACUAACUCACAAGGUCACGGGUGUAUGAAGUCUCCCCCUCAUUUUUUAAUGCUUCAUAGUUGUUAAUGCUACAGUUUUUGCUACAACUUUUUUGCUUGUCCAAAUUGUGUUUAAAAUAAAUGUCAUGUGCAAAGUUAGAUAGAGUACUACUUAUUUUAUUUUAUUUACACAUGUAAAAAACAACUGCAAAAACUAUA